CGCAUCUGUGCAUGCAGCAUAUCAAUAAGCGGAGGAAAAGAAACUAACAAGGAUUCCCCUAGUAACGGCGAGUGAAGCGGGAAGAGCUCAAAUUUGAAAUCUUAAAGGGUUUCCCUUUACGAAUUGUAGUUUAAAGAAGUGUUUUCUGUUGAGGUUUCGGUAAAAGUUCUUUGGAAUAGGACAUCAUAGAGGGUGAGAAUCCCGUAUUUGACCUUUACUUUCAACUUUGUGAUACACUUUCAAAGAGUCGGAUUGUUUGGGAAUGCAGUCCAAAAUGGGUGGUGAAUUUCAUCUAAAGCUAAAUAUUGGCGAGAGACCGAUAGCGAACAAGUACCGUGAGGGAAAGAUGAAAAGAACUUUGAAAAGAGAGUUAAACAGUACGCGAAAUUGUCAAAAGGGAAGCGUUUGACACCAGUGUUGUUUUUCUGAAAAUCAAUUAAAGAACUGUUUAUGCUAAGCUUGUUUAGACUUUAUCAGCUAACUGUUUAGUUUUGAGCUUUUCUUUAAUGCACUUUUCAGUUAACAAGUCAACAUCAAUUUCUUUUGCUGUAAAAAAGCAUGAGGAAGGUGGCUUGAGAUUCGUCUUAAGUGUUUAUAGCCUCUUGCCUAUGCAGUCGGAGAGAUUGAGGUCUGCAGCGUAGAUCCUUCGGGGCUAAAUGCAUUUGUGCUAAGUUAUAGCAUUUUAUAGACAACUUGUUGACUAUGAUUUGUCUUGUAGCUUACUCGCUUAUGUUAUUUUACCUACGCUUAGGAUGUUGAAUCUGUGCGAGACUAC
This 775-nucleotide ribosomal RNA is filed under the name uncultured Neocallimastigales. Its description in RNAcentral is "partial large subunit ribosomal RNA". It matches the Rfam family "Eukaryotic large subunit ribosomal RNA", at positions 26 to 644 of the family's 3401-position model. The record is from RNAcentral. Lineage: Eukaryota; Fungi; Neocallimastigomycota; Neocallimastigomycetes; Neocallimastigales.